AGCCAUUAACGCACCGCAUAGAUUUUGUUUUCAACUGUUGGUAACAUUGCAAAUGCUAAUAGUCGAUGGUUUUUAUUCGUACUGUGUACAUAACAUAACCAAACUUUUCUAACUAAAAUUGCACAACGAAAGCUUUAAUCAUAAUAAAGUAAAUACAACAAACUUAGAUUUCGUCCUUAUCUGCGUAAUUAAAUGUACAAUUAUUGUACACUUUGACGGUAACAGCUCCAUCAUGUGUAAUGACUUUGAUACCAGCACUGGGAACGGCACUUUCUACAUGUGUUGAUGUACAUCCUUGUGCAAGAAUCCCAUGUAAUGAUGAGGAUGAUUUACUUGCUUGGGCAAGAGUUCCUGCAACUUCCACUUUUCGUUGAACCUACGUUUCAAUAUAUCCUUCGGCAACCGCGGAGGACUUCCACCCGCCAUGUCGUUUAAUGGUGACCAAGUCACUACCGCUGUUAGCUAAAUGUGAGACACUUGAACGCCGGAAACAGUGCCCAGUGUAUUGUGCCGGAUUGGCUAAUUGUAGAAACUCUGCAAUCUUUCGUGGCGUCUUGCCCAUUGUAUUGAUUCCGAUCGAAGUAGUAAUGCAGCGACCACUACGGCACCGAUACAACAACAAUAUCAUUUUUAUAUUGGAUGUCGCCCAGUGCCAUAUUAGUCAGCUCCUCGCGUCUGCAUGCCCCACUGUAGCCCAUUAUUAAAAUAACCUACAACGAGAAUACAAACAAGAUACUCCUGUAGCUAGUACCUA
This is a long non-coding RNA of Photinus pyralis (common eastern firefly), 754 nucleotides long. RefSeq lists it as uncharacterized. The transcript has 3 exons. The record is from RefSeq and is a predicted model, not a curated record. NCBI's taxonomy places the organism in Eukaryota, Metazoa, Arthropoda, Insecta, Coleoptera, Lampyridae.